CCUCCCAAAGUCCAUGCAUGUUCGGCGGCCGAAAAUGAGUUUCGGCGGCCGAACCUGGGUUUUUCCUUAAAGAAUUUUCAUGCAAAAACUUAUUUAAAAUCAUACUUAAAACAUUAAAAUACAUGAAAACAUUUUAUAAAAACAUGCUUUUACCCUUCUAGAGGUUUCAGACACCCAAAUUCCACCGGACGGUAGGAAUUCCGAUACCGGAGUCUAACCGGGUAUUACA
Molecule: long non-coding RNA, 229 nt
Filed under: Manihot esculenta (cassava)
Lineage: Eukaryota; Viridiplantae; Streptophyta; Magnoliopsida; Malpighiales; Euphorbiaceae
Description: long non-coding RNA (MESC_LNC001335)
Source: RNAcentral